CUGCGUUAACCACUCCAGUCAACAGAUGGCGAUAUGCGUUUUUUAGGCGAUGCUAUCAGAGUGACGUAUAAUGUAGUGGACGGGACGCUUCUUCAACAACAUCUCGUCAGCCACCUCGGUAGCUUCCUAGUGGAAACGUUCAAGCUGUUCAGACUGUAUUUGGAACAUAAUUCUGUCUUUUAACUAGUUUCCCCAUUUCAUGUCAUAUUUCCGUUUCGUCAGGUAACGGUAGCUGGCUUGAUAAAUGAGCCUAUCACUAGUCUAGUCGCUAACUAGCUAGGUUAGCUGGCUAACAUCCCCGACCAUGAGCUCAGCAAGCUGCUGCCCUCCUGCUAAAAAAGAGGUCUGCUGGAAGGAGAAAGAAGGUAUUUGGCUGAACGUUGUCGUGAAAGAGGAGAAUGAAGAGGAGGAUGUCACAGUAAAGGAAGAAGUCGAGGGUGAGGCUGUUACACAGAAAGAAGAGGAAGAAAACGAUUAUACUUUUUUUGGAGUGAAUGAAGGAGAGAUAACUGUCAUAUUGAAGGAGGAGGAGAGGGAAGAAGAGAAGGAGACAGAAGAUCUGAGUAACACCAGAGAGAGACCAGACUCUCCUUCUGACAGCGGGAAGAGUCCUUCAGGGAAACCAGACCCCGAGACGUCCAAACCAGCAGGACGACAUCACUGCUCCCAGUGUGGGAAGAGUUUUACUCAGUUAGGGAGCCUGAGAACACAUAAGAGAAUACACACUGGAGAGAAGCCUUACCACUGUUCCCAAUGUGGAAUGUCGUUUACCCAGUUAGGGAGCCUGCAAACGCAUGAGGGGACACACAGGGGAAAAGCUUUUCCAAUGUUCCCAUUGUGGAAAGAGUUUUGGCCAGGUAGGAAACCUGAACAAGCAUGAGAGGACACACACAGGUAAGAAGAUGUACCGCUGCUCCCAGUGUGGAGAGAGAUUUACCCGGUUAAGGUACCUGAAAGAGCAUGAAAGAAUACAUACAAAUACACAGGAGGAGAAGACAUACCACUGCUCUCAUUGUGGAAAGACAUUUUCCCAGUCAGAGAACCUGAAAACACAUGAGAGAAUCGAGAGGCUGUGUUCUGACUUGUGUUUCUGACUGAGAAUGUGUGUGUUUGUUUGGGCUGUCAGACUUGAGUUCACUCUGUGUAAUGUUAGUGCACUAUUUUUAAUUGUGAUUAAUCAAUUGUCUGAAAGGGUUAAAAACACACUGAAAACAUCCAAAAUACAUACUAUAUACAGCUAAAAUCUACAAUGCCAUGUAAACACAAGAUGACAUUGAGGUUAAAUAAAGUGUGCUUUAUCAAUGGAACAUAUUUUGACACGUCCACUGUGUGUCUCUGAAGAGUCAUAAUAUCCAUAACAACUAGAGGUCAAACAGGGAGAUGGUUCCAUUCAUUUUCCCCACAGGGCUGUGUUUUGUUUAGACUCACCCUGGUGUGAUGUUUUGACAACCAUGGAAACCUCUCUGGGACGAGGUGACUGAGGACACAGUGUGUUGUGAAUUUAUUGUCAUGUUUUUAAAAUGGUAUAAAUGCCUUUAUUUUAGCUGGACCCCAGGAAGAGGAGCUGCUGCCUUGGCAGGAACUAACAAGGAUCCAUAAUAAACCCCAGGAAGAGUAGCUGCUGCCUUGGCAGGAAGUAAUGGGGAUCCAUAUUAAACCCCAGGAAGAGGAGCUGCUGCCUUGGCAGGAACUAAUGGGGAUCCGUAAUAAAUACAAAUACUUUUAUCAAUAUAUUUGUCUCUCUCUACUCUCCGAUUCAAAUAUGCUAAUUAGCAUCGAAGUAGACAACAUGCAAGACUACAAAUCCCUGCAAGCUCCUGCAAGUCAUCUCUAGCCAACACAUUUCACAGAAUUGUCCAUUGAAAUAAAUGUUGACAAUUUAAUCAUUGCUACAUUCAGGCCUGAUUGGCGGAGUGCUACAGAGAUGGUUGUCCUUCUGGAAGGUUCUCCCGUCUCCACAGAGGAAAUCUGGAUCUCUGUCAGAGUGAACAUUGGGUUCUUGUUCACCUCCUUGAUCAAGGCCCUUCUCCCCCGAUUUCUCAGUUUGGCCGGGCGGCCAGCUCUAGAAAGAGUUUUGGUGGUUCCAAACUUCUUCCGUUUAAGAAUGAUGGCGGCCAUUGUGUUCAUGGGGACUGUUUGCUACAGACAUUUUUGGUACCUUUCCACAGAUCUGUACCUCGACACAAUCCUGUCUCAGAACUCUACAGACAAUUCCUUUGACCUCAUGGCUUGGUUUUUGCUCUGACAUGCACUGUAAACUGUGGGACCUUCUAUAGACAGGUGUGUGCCUUUCCAAACCAUGUCUAAUUUAUUGAAUUUACCACAGGUGGACUCCAAUCAAGUUGUAGAAACAUCUCAAGGAUGAUCAAUGGAAUAAGGAUGUCUGAGCUCAUUUUCGAGUCUCAUAGCAAAGGGUCUGAAUACUUAAGUAAAUACAUUUGCAAAAAAUUCAAAUCUGUUAUUGGUUUGUCAUUAUGGGGUUUUGUGUGUAGAUUGAUGAGGGGAAAAACAUAUUCAAUUUUAUAAUGAGGCUGUAACGUAACUAAAUGUGGAAUAAGUGAAGGGGUCUGAAUACUUAAUGAAUACACUGUAUACCACUGGAAGAGCUUUCUAUCAUUGGCAGUUUUGUACACAGUCAGGUGAUACGUGGUAUAGAAAGUCCAAUCUUAGGAGAGAACAUGGGAGGCACUAUACUGUGUGUCUGCAGGUGUCUAUCUGGUCAAAACCACUGAUAGAGGUGCCCCUCCACCCUCUGGUGGGAUGGAUCAUGUCUACAGAGAAACCUACAUUCAAAUACUUAGAUUUGUGAAAUUAUUAGAUAUUACUUGUUAGAUAUUACUGCACUGUCGGAGCUAGAAGCACAAGCAUUUUGCUACACCUGCAAUAACAUUUGCUAAACAAUUGUAUGUGACCAAUAACAUGUGAUUUGAUUCUGAUUUGAAAUAAAUGUCCUAUUUAUCAAAGGUG
Molecule: long non-coding RNA, 2967 nt
Organism: Oncorhynchus masou masou (cherry salmon)
Lineage: Eukaryota; Metazoa; Chordata; Actinopteri; Salmoniformes; Salmonidae
Exons: 2
Source: RefSeq, a predicted model, not a curated record